UGAGAAAAACUAAGAUUAAACAUCCUACAUGUUUCCAGGAAAAAGGAAAAAACAUUGGAAAACAAUUUUAGCCUAAGGUUUGAGAAUAAAGCCAAUGGUUCUCUAUUAAGGCUAACUGUGUAUAUUGCCUUUGAGGACUGCAAGCUGAACUUACAGAUUUAUAUGGACUUUACUUACAGGUUUCCUGUGCUGUUUUGCUCCAUUUUACUGAACAAAAUAAGGCUGAGGUAGCACCAUCCUUGUGGUUAGAGUGAAAGAAUGUGGGUAUUGAGACCAAAAUAAACAAUGUGCCAUUCUGGACAAACAGCUGUGGACAAUAUGCAGUCAGAGUAGCCCAUUUUCUCACACAGACCUGAGGAUAAGAUUUCCAGUUUGAAAGUGAAGAAAAUGAAUCAUUAUUAACAGCAAAUAGGAGUAUUUCUCAGCUGAAAAGCCAGGUGAAACUAUAAGGUCACUAUGAUUCACUUUCAUAUUAUCAUUCUUUUCAGAUUUUUUUCCCUGUGUUUUUUUUGUUAGAUGAGGAGCAACCAGUAAGAAAAAGCAAAAAGAUGUUUUGAUGUUGCCUGAGGCACCUUAUUUUCCAUUUCAUGCACAAUCACAAAUGCAGCACAUCAAUCAAUUUCUUCCAACCAGCGAAUCAAGAAAUCUUGGAGUGGAGAAUCAUUCUGAAAGUAGACCAAAUCCAGGACAACAUCACAACAGUGGUCGGAAAAAUGCAGCAAGCCAAGCUGACUUUCAAAAGAUGAUUCGUUAUCUGUUUCUUCAGAGGGGAGGCAGUUUGGGAGAUGGGAAUUAGGAGGAUGCUACAGUUACACAGGGCAAAUUUCAGCAGCUCAGUUUCAAACUUGCAACUAACAUUGAGUUAAACUGGUCAGGGUGGAAGACCAGCUGACGUACCAGUUUUGCCAGGUUAAAGGACCAGCUUAAACCAGCUAAGACAGCCAACCAACUUAGCCAAGGUGGUAUAUGCUGGUGGGUCAGCUGGUCUUCCCGCCUGAACAGCUAAGACCAGCUACAAAGUGGCCAAAACCUCUGUAAAACAAUCCUGCUACACCAGCCUGACCAGCUAAAACCAUACUGGGAGUAUUCAUAUUCAUAUCGAUUUGCAUUUACACAUAAAAUAGGUAACAUACAGUACUGUGCAAAGUCUAGGCCACCAUCACCAGCUUUGUUGUUUUAGCUAAAUUUAAAUGUCCAUCCAUAUUUAUUUUUUACUCUUUUUAUUAAGAUACAAACAGAAAAUACAGGAAAUAUGUACACAAAAUUAAAAACAUCAGUCAGUAUUUAGUGUGACUUCUCUUGGCACGAAACACAUCUUGAGCUUUUUUGAGGAGACUGAAGUCAUUCGAUUAGAAUUAGAAAGGAUUAAAUUUUAUUUAUGUGUAAGAGAUCCUGCAGUUGCCUGCUAUUGCUCAAGUUGAAGGUGAGUUUACCCUAAAUACUUUAAACUUCAGCUUAAACUUUUAUACUGUUUUUUAAUACUACAUACACAUUUCCUGUAUUUUCUGGUUGUAUUCUAAUAAAGAGACUGAGAAAUAAACAUAUGAUCACUACACAAUUGCAAAAACAACAAAUCUAAUGGUAGCAUGCAGACUUUUGCACAGAACUGUAUGUCCACAUUUAGCCACCUUUACUUUGAGUGAACUGUAACAGCAACUAUAAUGCCAUAAACAUUCAAUACUAAGGUAAAAGAGAGUUGUGCAUGCUUUCUAGUUUUAGCACAGAAUUCUGUCUCCCUUUUAAAUGUUUGCUACAGAUUUUUUGCAAGACAUUUUUGUCCAACCUAAAAACAACUUGUACUGACAUAUAUUAAAAUACAUCAGUGCCCUUUGUUUUUUUUUACAUCAGAUUGCACACAAGUAAUGUUUUAGUAAGGCAUGUUUGUUAAAACUGGUUAUAUUUCAUAAUUAAACUGAGGCAUAGUCCUGGUUUAAGCUCCUUGUCUGGGAAAC
Paramisgurnus dabryanus is the source of this 1952-nucleotide long non-coding RNA. RefSeq lists it as uncharacterized. The record is from RefSeq and is a predicted model, not a curated record. Lineage: Eukaryota; Metazoa; Chordata; Actinopteri; Cypriniformes; Cobitidae.